This 465-nucleotide ribosomal RNA is filed under the name uncultured bacterium. RNAcentral's name for it is "partial 16S ribosomal RNA". It matches the Rfam family "Bacterial small subunit ribosomal RNA", at positions 28 to 507 of the family's 1533-position model. The record is from RNAcentral.
GACGAACGCUGGCGGCACGCUUAACACAUGCAAGUCGAACGAGAGAAGUGAAGCUUGCUUUUCUGAUCUAGUGGCGGACGGGUGAGUAACACGUGAGCAAUCUGCCUUUCAGAGGGGGAUACCGAUUGGAAACGAUCGUUAAUACCGCAUAACAUAAUUGAACCGCAUGAUUUGAUUAUCAAAGAUUUAUCGCUGAAAGAUGAGCUCGCGUCUGAUUAGCUAGUUGGUAAGGUAACGGCUUACCAAGGCGACGAUCAGUAGCCGGACUGAGAGGUUGAUCGGCCACAUUGGGACUGAGACACGGCCCAGACUCCUACGGGAGGCAGCAGUGGGGAAUAUUGCACAAUGGAGGAAACUCUGAUGCAGCGAUGCCGCGUGAGGGAAGAAGGUUUUAGGAUUGGAAACCUCUGUCUUCAGGGACGAAAAAAGACGGUACCUGAGGAGGAAGCUCCGGCUAACUACGUG